This 468-nucleotide ribosomal RNA is filed under the name uncultured bacterium. RNAcentral's name for it is "partial 16S ribosomal RNA". It matches the Rfam family "Bacterial small subunit ribosomal RNA", at positions 28 to 507 of the family's 1533-position model. The record is from RNAcentral.
GACGAACGCUGGCGGCGUGCUUAACACACGCAAGUCGAACGGAAAGGCCCUGCUUUUGUGGGGUGCUCGAGUGGCGAACGGGUGAGUAACACGUGAGUAACCUGCCCUUGACUUUGGGAUAACUUCAGGAAACUGGGGCUAAUACCGGAUAGGAGCUCCUGCUGCAUGGUGGGGGUUGGAAAGUUUCGGCGGUUGGGGAUGGACUCGCGGCUUAUCAGCUUGUUGGUGGGGUAGUGGCUUACCAAGGCUUUGACGGGUAGCCGGCCUGAGAGGGUGACCGGCCACAUUGGGACUGAGAUACGGCCCAGACUCCUACGGGAGGCAGCAGUGGGGAAUAUUGCACAAUGGGCGGAAGCCUGAUGCAGCAACGCCGCGUGCGGGAUGACGGCCUUCGGGUUGUAAACCGCUUUCGCCUGUGGCGAAGCGUGAGUGACGGUAAUGGGUAAAGAAGCACCGGCUAACUACGUG